GGAUGUGAGGGUGAUCUGGCUGCAACACCUGUCACCCUAUUGAUCACUAGGGUUGAUUCUGCUGAUUUGGCUGGCUAGGCGGGUGUCCCCUUCCUCCCUCACUGCUCCAUGUACGUCCCUCCCGAAGCUGCGUGCUCAGCUGAAGAGGACAACGGCCUUCCCCGAACAGAGACGGACUGAUCUUUGGUUGAGGGUGUAUGAGUAGCUGUGGUCCCCUGCGAGAAGCUCCAAACAAGCUCUUAAAUUCAGACUUUAUGCUGUAUCUAUCAGUUGUGUAACUUGGGUAAGUUAUUUCAAAUCAACUAUGUUGUAAAGAGU
This is an unclassified non-coding RNA of Erinaceus europaeus (western European hedgehog), 318 nucleotides long. Its record names the gene 7SK. It matches the Rfam family "7SK RNA". Rfam says of the family: 7SK was discovered as an abundant small nuclear RNA in the mid-70s but a possible function has only recently been suggested. Two independent studies have found that 7SK RNA binds the CDK9/cyclin T complex (known as elongation factor P-TEFb). NCBI's taxonomy places the organism in Eukaryota, Metazoa, Chordata, Mammalia, Eulipotyphla, Erinaceidae. The record is from Ensembl.